UACGUAGGUGGCAAGCGUUGUCCGGAUUUACUGGGCGUAAAGAGCGCGCAGGCGGUCGUUCAAGUCGCGUGUGAAAGCCCCCGGCUCAACUGGGGAGGGUCACGCGAUACUGAUCGACUGGAAGGCAGGAGAGGGUAGUGGAAUUCCCGGUGUAGUGGUGAAAUGCGUAGAUAUCGGGAGGAACACCAGUGGCGAAGGCGGGUCUCUGGGCAACAACUGACGCUGAGGAGCGAAAGCGUGGGGAGCGAACAGG
Molecule: ribosomal RNA, 253 nt
Filed under: uncultured bacterium
Lineage: Bacteria
Description: partial 16S ribosomal RNA
Rfam family: Bacterial small subunit ribosomal RNA
Source: RNAcentral